AGAAGGCCCUCGGGUUGUAAACUGCUUUGUCAGGGAAGAAAUCUUCUGGGUUAAUACCUCGGGAGGAUGACGGUACCUGAAGAAUAAGCACCGGCUAACUACGUGCCAGCAGCCGCGGUAAUACGUAGGGUGCGAGCGUUAAUCGGAAUUACUGGGCGUAAAGCGUGCGCAGGCGGCUUUGCAAGACAGAUGUGAAAUCCCCGGGCUCAACCUGGGAACUGCAUUUGUGACUGCAAGGCUAGAGUACGGCAGAGGGGGAUGGAAUUCCGCGUGUAGCAGUGAAAUGCGUAGAUAUGCGGAGGAACACCGAUGGCGAAGGCAAUCCCCUGGGCCUGUACUGACGCUCAUGCACGAAAGCGUGGGGAGCAAACAGGAUUAGAUACCCUGGUAGUCCC
RNAcentral lists this ribosomal RNA (395 nucleotides) under uncultured bacterium. Its description in RNAcentral is "bacterial SSU rRNA". It matches the Rfam family "Bacterial small subunit ribosomal RNA", at positions 409 to 797 of the family's 1533-position model. The record is from RNAcentral.